GUUUUCUCGAAUUGACGUCUGAAAUUGUAUUCAUUUCCAAAAGUUUGAAACGGAUUAUGGAGUUCAGAAGCACUUGUUUGGCUUAGAAUUUGGCCCAUUUGCAUCAGCGGUAGAAGAUUUUAUUAUUUGAAACACCCGGAUGAAAAAGAAAUUAUGUGUUCCGGCUUUCAAAAAACGGAGUGGCUUAAACCAAUCGGUUUGGGAAUAAAACUCAAGAAGAUAAGUGUCCAGUGAUCGUUUCUACAUGAGUUCUGAACCCGAAUAUUCAUG
Long non-coding RNA from Uranotaenia lowii, 270 nucleotides. RefSeq lists it as uncharacterized. The record is from RefSeq and is a predicted model, not a curated record. NCBI's taxonomy places the organism in Eukaryota, Metazoa, Arthropoda, Insecta, Diptera, Culicidae. The transcript has 3 exons.